This 72-nucleotide transfer RNA is filed under the name Ornithorhynchus anatinus (platypus). It matches the Rfam family "tRNA". Rfam says of the family: Transfer RNA (tRNA) molecules are approximately 80 nucleotides in length. The record is from Rfam by way of RNAcentral. Lineage: Eukaryota; Metazoa; Chordata; Mammalia; Monotremata; Ornithorhynchidae.
AGCAGUGUGGCUCAGUGGAAAGAGCCCGGGCUUGGGAGUCAGAAGUUAUGGGUUCGAAUCCCGGCUCUGCCA